Molecule: ribosomal RNA, 682 nt
Filed under: uncultured bacterium
Lineage: Bacteria
Description: bacterial SSU rRNA
Rfam family: Bacterial small subunit ribosomal RNA
Source: RNAcentral
AUACUAGGUGUAGGGGUUGUCAUGACCUCUGUGCCGCCGCUAACGCAUUAAGUAUUCCGCCUGGGGAGUACGGUCGCAAGAUUAAAACUCAAAGGAAUUGACGGGGGCCCGCACAAGCAGCGGAGCAUGUGGUUUAAUUCGAAGCAACGCGAAGAACCUUACCUAGACUUGACAUCUCCUGAAUUACCCUUAAUCGGGGAAGCCCUUCGGGGCAGGAAGACAGGUGGUGCAUGGUUGUCGUCAGCUCGUGUCGUGAGAUGUUGGGUUAAGUCCCGCAACGAGCGCAACCCUUAUUGUUAGUUGCUACCAUUUAGUUGAGCACUCUAGCGAGACUGCCCGGGUUAACCGGGAGGAAGGUGGGGAUGACGUCAAAUCAUCAUGCCCCUUAUGUCUAGGGCUACACACGUGCUACAAUGGCUGGUACAGAGAGAUGCUAAACCGCGAGUGGAGCCAAACUUUAAAACCAGUCUCAGUUCGGAUUGUAGGCUGAAACUCGCCUACAUGAAGCUGGAGUUGCUAGUAAUCGCGAAUCAGAAUGUCGCGUGAAUACGUUCCCGGGCCUUGUACACACCGCCCGUCACACCAUGAGAGUUGCAAUACCCAAAGUUCGUGAGCUAACGCGUAAAGCGGGCAGCGACCUAAGGUAGGGUCAGCGAUUGGGGUGAAGUCGUAACAAGGUACC